GCAGUAUAGGGUGUGAAAAGAAUGAGUGGUAAUGCAUUGUAGAGUUAGAGAGGGAAUAAGUGGUAAUGUGUUGUAGAGUUAGAGAGGGAAUAAAUGGUAAUGUGUUGUAGAGUUAGAGAGGGAAUGAGUGGUAAUGUGUUGUAGAGUAAGAGAGGGAAAGAGUGGGAAUGCGUUGUAGAGUUAGAGAGGGAAUGAGUAGGAAUGCGUUGUAGAGUUAGAGAGAGAAUGAGUGGUAAGGCGUUGUAGAGUUAGAGAGGAAUGAGUGGUAAUGCAUUGUAGAGUUAGAGAGGGAAUAAGUGGUAAUGCGUUGUAGAGAUAGAGAGAGAAUGAGUGGUAAGGCAUUGUAGAGUUAGAGAGGAAUUAAUUAUAAUGCGUUGUAGAGUUAGAGAGUUAAUAAGUGGGAAUGCAUUGAUGAGUUAGAGAGGGAAUGAGUGGAAAUGCGUUGUAGAGUUAGAGAGGAAUGAAUGGUAAUGCGUUGUAGAGUUAGAGAGGGAAUGA
This is a non-coding RNA of Pelobates cultripes (western spadefoot toad), 498 nucleotides long. The record is from the annotation of a GenBank genome assembly. Lineage: Eukaryota; Metazoa; Chordata; Amphibia; Anura; Pelobatidae.